GACGGAGGAUGCAAGCGUUAUCCGGAAUUACUGGGCGUAAAGCGUGCGCAGGCGGCUUUGCAAGACAGAUGUGAAAUCCCCGGGCUUAACCUGGGAACUGCAUUUGUGACUGCAUGGCUGGAGUGCGGCAGAGGGGGAUGGAAUUCCGCGUGUAGCAGUGAAAUGCGUAGAUAUGCGGAGGAACACCGAUGGCGAAGGCAAUCCCCUGGGCCUGCACUGACGCUCAUGCACGAAAGCGUGGGGAGCAAACAGG
This 253-nucleotide ribosomal RNA is filed under the name uncultured bacterium. RNAcentral describes it as "partial 16S ribosomal RNA". It matches the Rfam family "Bacterial small subunit ribosomal RNA", at positions 524 to 776 of the family's 1533-position model. The record is from RNAcentral.